CACUCUCAGGUUCAAACGGGGAGCUCCAACACAUCCAAGAGGGAAUCCCUCCUUAAAUUUUGUGUCUGCUCCACACCAACCUCUUGGUUAGUCCCUAUUUAGCUUUGGCUUCUCCCUCCCCACCCUCUAUGUGGGCAAGGCUUCCACUGACAGGCCAGCAUUCUCUGCUACGUCACUGUGGUUUCUACUCAGCACCCCAGUCUGGGGUCCCGGCUCCGUCCUCCUCACGGUGGUCCUCCUGCUUAGACUAAGUGUGUGUAUCUGGCAUAAGUGUUAUCUCUGGGACCUCCAGCACUGCUCCACAGACCUGACCGGGAAGACGGCAGUGGUGACUGGGGCCAACAGUGGCAUCGGGAAGAGCGUGUCCCAGGAGCUGGCCCGCCGCGGGGCGCGUGUGAUCCUGGCCUGCCACAGCCGUGAGUGUGGACAGCAAGCCCUGGCCGAGAUACGAGCAGCCUCACAGAGCAACCAGCUCCUGCUUGGAUUGCCCACAACACGUACCCCAGAGGGCCUUGAUGUCACCUUUGCCACCAACUACAUUGGACCCUUUCUGCUCACAAAUCUGCUCCAAGGUA
Vicugna pacos (alpaca) is the source of this 575-nucleotide non-coding RNA. The record is from RefSeq and is a predicted model, not a curated record. Lineage: Eukaryota; Metazoa; Chordata; Mammalia; Artiodactyla; Camelidae.